Molecule: long non-coding RNA, 460 nt
Filed under: Pan troglodytes (chimpanzee)
Lineage: Eukaryota; Metazoa; Chordata; Mammalia; Primates; Hominidae
Description: long non-coding RNA NONPTRT012743
Source: RNAcentral
AUUUUAUCUUAGCUGCAACUAUCUUUAACAUCUGUGCUUUUUCAUAGUGGAUAGCUUUGAAAUAUCCCGGAAUUGCAAUAUAUGUGGAUACCUGCAGAGAAUGCUAUGAAGCUUAUGUAAUUUACAACUUUAUGGGAUUCCUUACCAAUUAUCUAACUAACCGGUAUCCAAAUCUGGUAUUAAUCCUUGAAGCCAAAGAUCAACAGAAACAUUUCCCUCCUUUAUGUUGCUGUCCACCAUGGGCUAUGGGAGAAGUAUUGCUGUUUAGGUGCAAACUAGGUGUAUUACAGUACACAGUUGUCAGACCUUUCACCACCAUCGUUGCUUUAAUCUGUGAGCUGCUUGGUAUAUAUGACGAAGGGAACUUUAGCUUUUCAAAUGCUUGGACUUACUUAGUUAUAAUAAACAACAUGUCACAGUUGUUUGCCAUGUAUUGUCUCCUGCUCUUUUAUAAAGAACU